UGUUAUAUCAGGUACACAGUAUGGGGUCUC
RNAcentral lists this non-coding RNA (30 nucleotides) under Rattus norvegicus (Norway rat). Lineage: Eukaryota; Metazoa; Chordata; Mammalia; Rodentia; Muridae. The record is from RNAcentral.